This 476-nucleotide ribosomal RNA is filed under the name uncultured bacterium. RNAcentral's name for it is "bacterial SSU rRNA". It matches the Rfam family "Bacterial small subunit ribosomal RNA", at positions 32 to 517 of the family's 1533-position model. The record is from RNAcentral.
AAUCAACGCUGGCGGCGUGCCUCAGACAUGCAAGUCGAACGAUUAAAGCUCUCUUCGGAGAGUGUAUAGAGUGGCGCACGGGUGAGUAACACGUAAGUAAUCUACCCUCGAGUGGGGAAUAACAACCGGAAACGGUUGCUAAUACCGCAUAAUGCAGCGGCACCGCAAGGUGACAGUUGUUAAAGAUUUAUCGCUUGAGGAGGAGCUUGCGGCAGAUUAGCUAGUUGGUAGGGUAACGGCUUACCAAGGCUACGAUCUGUAACCGGUCUAAGAGGACGGUCGGUCACACUGACACUGAAUAACGGGUCAGACUCCUACGGGAGGCAGCAGUCGGGUAAUUUUGGGCAAUGGGCGAAAGCCUGACCCAGCAACGCCGCGUGAAGGAUGAAGUAUUUCGGUAUGUAAACUUCGAAAGAAUAGGAAGAAUUAAUGACGGUACUAUUUAUAAGGUCCGGCUAACUACGUGCCAGCAGCCG